Molecule: ribosomal RNA, 574 nt
Filed under: Aspergillus fumigatus
Lineage: Eukaryota; Fungi; Ascomycota; Eurotiomycetes; Eurotiales; Aspergillaceae
Description: eukaryotic LSU rRNA
Rfam family: 5.8S ribosomal RNA (bases 210-363)
Source: RNAcentral
GGUGACCUGCGGAAGGAUCAUUACCGAGUGAGGGCCCUCUGGGUCCAACCUCCCACCCGUGUCUAUACGUACCUUGUUGCUUCGGCGGGCCCGCCGUUUCGACGGCCGCCGGGGAGGCCUUGCGCCCCCGGGCCCGCGCCCGCCGAAGACCCCAACAUGAACGCUGUUCUGAAAGUAUGCAGUCUGAGUUGAUUAUCGUAAUCAGUUAAAACUUUCAACAACGGAUCUCUUGGUUCCGGCAUCGAUGAAGAACGCAGCGAAAUGCGAUAAGUAAUGUGAAUUGCAGAAUUCAGUGAAUCAUCGAGUCUUUGAACGCACAUUGCGCCCCCUGGUAUUCCGGGGGGCAUGCCUGUCCGAGCGUCAUUGCUGCCCUCAAGCACGGCUUGUGUGUUGGGCCCCCGUCCCCCUCUCCCGGGGGACGGGCCCGAAAGGCAGCGGCGGCACCGCGUCCGGUCCUCGAGCGUAUGGGGCUUUGUCACCUGCUCUGUAGGCCCGGCCGGCGCCAGCCGACACCCAACUUUAUUUUUCUAAGGUUGACCUCGGAUCAGGUAGGGAUACCCGCUGAACUUAAGCC